This 253-nucleotide ribosomal RNA is filed under the name uncultured bacterium. RNAcentral's name for it is "partial 16S ribosomal RNA". It matches the Rfam family "Bacterial small subunit ribosomal RNA", at positions 524 to 776 of the family's 1533-position model. The record is from RNAcentral.
UACGUAGGGUCCGAGCGUUGUCCGGAAUUACUGGGCGUAAAGAGCUCGUAGGUGGUUUGUCGCGUUGUUCGUGAAAACUCACAGCUCAACUGUGGGCGUGCGGGCGAUACGGGCAGACUAGAGUACUGCAGGGGAGACUGGAAUUCCUGGUGUAGCGGUGGAAUGCGCAGAUAUCAGGAGGAACACCGGUGGCGAAGGCGGGUCUCUGGGCAGUAACUGACACUGAGGAACGAAAGCCAGGGGAGCAAACGGG